This 230-nucleotide ribosomal RNA is filed under the name uncultured bacterium. RNAcentral describes it as "partial 16S ribosomal RNA". It matches the Rfam family "Bacterial small subunit ribosomal RNA", at positions 567 to 791 of the family's 1533-position model. The record is from RNAcentral.
GACGUGCGCAGGCGGUUAGUUGUAAGUCUGAUGUGAAAUCCCCGGGCUCAACCUGGGAAUUGCAUUGGAGACUGCAAGGCUAGAAUCUGGCAGAGGGGGGUAGAAUUCCACGUGUAGCAGUGAAAUGCGUAGAUAUGUGGAGGAACACCGAUGGCGAAGGCAGCCCCCUGGGUCAAGAUUGACGCUCAUGCACGAAAGCGUGGGGAGCAAACAGGAUUAGAUACCCGAGU